UGAGAAUCUGCUUUGUGAGCUGAGUCGCA
RNAcentral lists this non-coding RNA (29 nucleotides) under Homo sapiens (human). The record is from RNAcentral. Lineage: Eukaryota; Metazoa; Chordata; Mammalia; Primates; Hominidae.